GGUCGGUUAGCUCAGUUGGUUAGAGCGUCGUACGUUGCCCUUAACAUUCCUUUGCUAGAUUAACAAUACCUUAAAGACUAACAUGCUAUAGGUACUAAUAAUGCGAAGGUCAUGAGUUCGACCCUCAUACUGACCA
Xylaria curta is the source of this 136-nucleotide non-coding RNA. Lineage: Eukaryota; Fungi; Ascomycota; Sordariomycetes; Xylariales; Xylariaceae. The record is from the annotation of a GenBank genome assembly.